This 65-nucleotide transfer RNA is filed under the name Spirobranchus giganteus. Its description in RNAcentral is "tRNA-Gly". Lineage: Eukaryota; Metazoa; Annelida; Polychaeta; Sabellida; Serpulidae. The record is from RNAcentral.
GCUUGAUUAGUUUAGGACAGAACAUUUCUCUUCCAAAGAAAGAGCACCUGGUAAGGUAUCAAGUA